This 316-nucleotide long non-coding RNA is filed under the name Jatropha curcas. Its description in RNAcentral is "long non-coding RNA (JCUR_LNC002416)". The record is from RNAcentral. Lineage: Eukaryota; Viridiplantae; Streptophyta; Magnoliopsida; Malpighiales; Euphorbiaceae.
CGGGAUGCAAAUCUCUACACAAUCCUUGAAGAUUAUCGCCACCGAGUCCAUGUUGGUUCCAUCUAUGCUCCACUCCUUCAACAUUACCAGCAAAAACAAGCAAAAACGGAGGCAAAGAACCCAAUUCAUAAAUUCUAUACUUCUUUUGUAUUCUCAUCCAGUACUCUAAUUUCUCUCUAUAUCUCCCUUCUCUCCAUUUCAACAGGUCUAUCACCAUUACUCCUGUGUUAAAAUAGCAAGGCUUUCUUCCUUUAAACGACGCCGCAUAGACCUGGUUCGACCAGAAUCUCGAAUUGAAGUAAUUUGUGAAGUUAGC